UUGUUUCAGUGGCACAUAAACUAACAUUGGAAUGAUACAGAGAAGAUUAACAUGGCUCCUGUGCAAGGAUGGAACACAAAUUCCUGAAGUGUUCCAUAUUUUU
This 103-nucleotide small nuclear RNA is filed under the name Dasypus novemcinctus (nine-banded armadillo). The record is from RNAcentral. Lineage: Eukaryota; Metazoa; Chordata; Mammalia; Cingulata; Dasypodidae.